UAGGAUUGAAAUGCAACUAGGCUGUCAUAAGCUCAAGGUGCACCUAAGACCCCCCUUAAGAUGAUCCUAGCACUCCCGAUUGAUUUAACCCCACGAAAGCUAGGGCACAAACUGGGAUUAGAUACCCCAUUAUGCCUAGCCCUAAAUCUUGAUGCUUGCUGUACUAAAGCAUCCGCCUGAGAACUACGAGCACAAACGCUUAAAACUCUAAGGACUUGGCGGUGCCCCAAACCCACCUAGAGGAGCCUGUUCUAUAAUCGAUAACCCACGAUCCACCCGACCACCCCUUGCUAAAGCAGCCUACAUACCGCCGUCGCCAGUUCACCUCACCUGAGAGCCCCGCAGUGAACACAAUAGCCUCGCCCCGCUAACAAGACAGGUCAAGGUAUAGCUUAUGGGGUGGAAGAAAUGGGCUACAUUUUCUAUAGUAGAAUACAUACGAAAGGGGGCAUGAAACAACCCCGGAAGGCGGAUUUAGCAGUAAAGUGGGACAAUAAAGCCCCCUUUAAGUUGGCUCUGGGGCACGUACAUACCGCCCGUCACCCUCC
RNAcentral lists this ribosomal RNA (548 nucleotides) under Aethia pusilla. Its description in RNAcentral is "partial 12S ribosomal RNA". It matches the Rfam family "Bacterial small subunit ribosomal RNA", at positions 657 to 1405 of the family's 1533-position model. Lineage: Eukaryota; Metazoa; Chordata; Aves; Charadriiformes; Alcidae. The record is from RNAcentral.